RNAcentral lists this unclassified non-coding RNA (708 nucleotides) under Cratystylis subspinescens. RNAcentral describes it as "sequence contains ITS1, 5.8S rRNA gene, ITS2". The stretch from base 299 to 454 matches the Rfam family "5.8S ribosomal RNA". Lineage: Eukaryota; Viridiplantae; Streptophyta; Magnoliopsida; Asterales; Asteraceae. The record is from RNAcentral.
AAGGUUUCCGUAGGUGAACUGCGGAAGGAUCAUUGUCGAAACCUGCAUAGCAGAAUGACUUGAGAACCUGUACAAUCCGUCUGGUGUGCCAGGGGUUGGGCUUAUGUUUGACCCUUGUAGCGCCUUGUUGAUUUUCCAUCCAUGGUCGCCCCUUUGGGGUCUCCUGGACGUCGAAUCAACACAACAACAAACCCCGGCACGACAUGUGCCAAGGAAAAUUUAAUAUAAGAAGGGCUUAUGCCGUGUCACCACGUUCGCGUUGGUGUGCAAGGCAUGCGGCUUCUUUGUAACCACAAACGACUCUCGGCAACGGAUAUCUUGGCUCAUGCAUCGAUGAAGAACGUAGCAAAAUGCGAUACUUGGUGUGAAUUGCAGAAUCCCGUGAACCAUCGAGUUUUUGAACGCAAGUUGCGCCCGAAGCCAUUCAGCUGAGGGCACGUCUGCCUGGGCGUCACGCAUCACGUCGCCCCCUCAUCAUGCCUCCUUGAUGGGGAUGCAUGGGGUGGGGCGGAUAUUGGUCUCCCGUUCCUAGAGAGCGGAUGACCAAAAUAGGAGCCCCCUUCAUGGACGCACGACAAGUGGUGGUUAACUAAACCCUCGUCUCAUGUCGUGUGUUUUGAGCCGUGAAUGAAGGCAACAAAAGCAACCCCAACGUGUCGUCUUGUGACGAUGCUUUGACCGCGACCUCAGGUCAGGCGGGACUACCCG